Molecule: long non-coding RNA, 873 nt
Filed under: Homo sapiens (human)
Lineage: Eukaryota; Metazoa; Chordata; Mammalia; Primates; Hominidae
Description: HSALNT0140039
Source: RNAcentral
ACAAUGUUGUUUGAGGAACCUACCCAGGGAUUUCUUCCUUCUUGUGUCUUUACUAAUACAGUUGAGAAAAGAAGCUUUCUGUUUUAAAAUACUCAAUCUAUUUUAAGUCAACUUAUGGAAAUUCAUGGGAAAAAUAGGUUUUAAAAAAACUAAUUUCAUUGCUUUCAAUUUUUCAGGGGCCUGAACAUCAGCUUGAAAAUGACUGACCUCUUUGAUUAUUAAUUUAAGCAGGACAGUUUCGUACAUAGGAAGGAAAAGCAUUAGGAGUGGCUUCAGAGCCUUUUUGUUUUUCUUUUAGAUUUACUUCAUUAGGCUGCUUUCCUCUGAUGUACAGUGACUGUUGUUUGUUUUAAUGUCUUGGUGCAUAAAUGGAAAAAUUUUGAAUGGAAAUGAAUUUCGAAGAAUGAAGAAUGCAAUAGAAUAUUAGGUUCACCAAUCUAUAUGAAAUGAACUAUUAUGGCAUUUAUCUUUGUAGCUAAGCCAUUUGUAAGUUAUCUUUCUCAUUUGAAAAGAUAUACUAUAACUCAAUAAUCCAUCAUGAAUUCUUUAAAAAUUUACCCUCUGCAGAAACACAUUGCUCACACUUCACUGACAUGAGACAAUUUAAAAAUGAAUUAUUUUAUAUGCUUAUUAGAAAGGUGGUGAUAGUCUAUAAACAGCACUGUUAGAGAAGGUCAAAUUGUGAUUGAUGUUCCACCCAAAAUAUGACUCAGCCAGUCAGAGUGAUUUAAUUUAGGAAAUUCUUUCUCUCCUUACUAAGAGGAUCAUAUUCAUUACUACGUAAUCACCAAGGUAAUAGGUUGGGAUGAAAAUAACCCCUGCCAGCAGGUAUCCUGAAAAAAAAAACACAUCAAUUCUCUGAUAUACAGAGGA